Molecule: ribosomal RNA, 253 nt
Filed under: uncultured bacterium
Lineage: Bacteria
Description: partial 16S ribosomal RNA
Rfam family: Bacterial small subunit ribosomal RNA
Source: RNAcentral
UACGUAGGGCGCAAGCGUUGUCCGGAAUUAUUGGGCGUAAAGAGCUCGUAGGCGGUUUGUCGCGUCUGCUGUGAAAACCUAAGGCUCAACCUUGGGCUUGCAGUGGGUACGGGCAGACUAGAGUGCGGUAGGGGUGACUGGAAUUCCUGGUGUAGCGGUGGAAUGCGCAGAUAUCAGGAGGAACACCAAUGGCGAAGGCAGCUCACUGGGACGGUAUUGACGCUGAGACGCGAAAGCGUGGGGAGCAAACAGG